This 449-nucleotide ribosomal RNA is filed under the name uncultured bacterium. RNAcentral's name for it is "partial 16S ribosomal RNA". It matches the Rfam family "Bacterial small subunit ribosomal RNA", at positions 30 to 523 of the family's 1533-position model. The record is from RNAcentral.
AUUGAACGCUGGCGGCAUGCCUAACACAUGCAAGUCGAACGAAGGCUUCGGCCUUAGUGGCGCACGGGUGCGUAACGCGUGGGAAUCUGCCCUUGGGUUCGGAAUAACAGUUAGAAAUGACUGCUAAUACCGGAUGAUGUCGUAAGACCAAAGAUUUAUCGCCCAAGGAUGAGCCCGCGUAGGAUUAGCUAGUUGGUGGGGUAAAGGCCCACCAAGGCGACGAUCCUUAGCUGGUCUGAGAGGAUGAUCAGCCACACUGGGACUGAGACACGGCCCAGACUCCUACGGGAGGCAGCAGUGGGGAAUAUUGGACAAUGGGCGAAAGCCUGAUCCAGCAAUGCCGCGUGAGUGAUGAAGGCCUUAGGGUUGUAAAGCUCUUUUACCCGGGAUGAUAAUGACAGUACCGGGAGAAUAAGCUCCGGCUAACUUCGUGCCAGCAGCCGCCGUAA